Long non-coding RNA from Peromyscus leucopus (white-footed mouse), 829 nucleotides. RefSeq lists it as uncharacterized. Lineage: Eukaryota; Metazoa; Chordata; Mammalia; Rodentia; Cricetidae. The record is from RefSeq and is a predicted model, not a curated record. The transcript has 3 exons.
UCCUCAGCUCAAAAAGAAAGGGGGGGGGUUAUUUUAGUUCGGUCUGAGGUCUGUCACAGCAGAGAAGGCAUAGUGGCAGAUGUGUGAGGAGGCUGGUCACACUGAAUCUGCAGUCAGGAAGCAGAGAGAUGAAUGCUGGUGCUCAGCUAGUUUUUUCCACUCUGAGACCCCAGCUCAGGGAAUGGUACCACUUACAUUCAGGGUGGAGCUUCUCUACUCUGUCAGACCUUUCAGGAAACAUACUCAUAGGCAAAUCCAGAGACUGUGUUGCCAUGGUGAUUUGAAAUCCCAACAAGUUGACAAUGAAGAGUAACCAUCACAGGGAGAUGGAAGUACGGGUAUAUGCAACAAAUGCUUCAAACAUAGAUUAUUACCCCAGUAGUCAACCUUGUCACCCAGCAUCAGCUCCCUGGGCAUAUGGUAGGAAUUUAAUAUGUUUAUUGACUGACAUCUCAGACCUGUCUCCUUAUAUUACAGAAAGGGAGAGACAUUGGUGUCUCCUAUUUGGAGUCACAGAAGACUUGAGAGAGGCUGAAGUGGGAUUUACACGGAUUGGAUUUGCAUUGGCUAUAAGGCCUUGAACGUCCACAGAGGCUGUAGAGACUUACCUCAGUAUCAACUUCAGCAAGUUAAACACUGAUGUGCUGAGGACAAUUUCCAUGGGCUUCCUGUGCUCUGCUAGAAGACACUUGGUUUCCUUUCGGCUCUCAUGUUGUCAUGCAGACCUCAUGCCAACAUUGUCUUUUCUCUAUUUCCACAAACACUUUACAGCAGUGGUUCUCAACCUUCUCAAUGCUAUGACCCUUUAAUAUAGUUCCUUAUGUUGUAG